Molecule: long non-coding RNA, 272 nt
Filed under: Bos taurus (domestic cattle)
Lineage: Eukaryota; Metazoa; Chordata; Mammalia; Artiodactyla; Bovidae
Description: long non-coding RNA NONBTAT025404
Source: RNAcentral
CUUACAUUUGUGCAAUUUACAGAAGGAAGAUACAUACAGUUGAUAUUCACUGUUGAUGGGAUUUUCUCUUUUUCAGAAAGAUAAUAUAUGUCAACAUACCUACUGAAUGACUGUCAGACUGAAGUAUAUUAAUUUAAAAAUGUAGGUUUCUUAUUCAUUGUAACCUGACCUUUUUGCUCAAGUAAGGCUAGUUUCAAAAACACAACCUGAAGCUUGCAAGGUGUUUCCCAAGAUAGUGGCACUGGGUUUCCUCAGAUACAAUGUUCUGCUCU